This 712-nucleotide ribosomal RNA is filed under the name uncultured bacterium. Its description in RNAcentral is "bacterial SSU rRNA". It matches the Rfam family "Bacterial small subunit ribosomal RNA", at positions 104 to 810 of the family's 1533-position model. The record is from RNAcentral.
GGGUGAGUAACACGUAUGCAACCUGGCCGUGACAGAUGGAUAACCGGGAGAAAUCCCGCCUAAUACAACAUAAUGCCGGGAGGGGACAUCCCCUGCCGGCCAAAGGGGGCGACCCCGGUCACGGAUGGGCAUGCGGCGCAUUAGGUAGUUGGUGGGGCAACGGCCCACCAAGCCGACGAUGCGUAGGGGUUCUGAGAGGAAGGUCCCCCACAUUGGAACUGAGACACGGUCCAAACUCCUACGGGAGGCAGCAGUGAGGAAUAUUGGUCAAUGGCCGGAAGGCUGAACCAGCCAAGUCGCGUGAGGGAAUAAGGCCCUACGGGUCGUAAACCUCUUUUGCCAGGGAGCAAUGCCGUCCACGUGUGGACGGAAGGAGAGUACCUGGAGAAAAAGCAUCGGCUAACUCCGUGCCAGCAGCCGCGGUAAUACGGAGGAUGCGAGCGUUAUCCGGAUUUAUUGGGUUUAAAGGGUGCGUAGGCGGCCUGCCAAGUCAGCGGUAAAAUUGCGGGGCUCAACCCCGUACAGCCGUUGAAACUGCCGGGCUCGAGUGGGCGAGAAGUAUGCGGAAUGCGUGGUGUAGCGGUGAAAUGCAUAGAUAUCACGCAGAACCCCGAUUGCGAAGGCAGCAUACCGGCGCCCGACUGACGCUGAGGCACGAAAGUGCGGGGAUCAAACAGGAUUAGAUACCCUGGUAGUCCGCACAGUAAACGAU